Rhinopithecus roxellana (golden snub-nosed monkey) is the source of this 486-nucleotide long non-coding RNA. RefSeq lists it as uncharacterized. NCBI's taxonomy places the organism in Eukaryota, Metazoa, Chordata, Mammalia, Primates, Cercopithecidae. The record is from RefSeq and is a predicted model, not a curated record. The transcript has 3 exons.
UGUGAAUUGCCUGUGGAGCUGUGGGAAGAAGAUCCUCUUGAGGCUUAUUUGGAACUCUACAGGAAGAAAAGAAAUCAUCAAAUAACACUGAAACUUACUUAACCUGCCCAUCACCUGUGCUGAUAUUUUCAAGAGGAAGAGGUGGAGACGACAGAAGUUGUCCCACCAGCCCCAUCCUUUGAUGCCAGCUCUUUUUCCCUGGCCAGAGACUUCCUGAACCUCCUUCAUACAUGCUUCAAGGUCACAGUCCAGACCAAAGUGUUUACAAAAAAACUAAGCACUUAUAAAGAGGAAUUAUUGCCAACUCCUGAACUCCCAACGCCCCAGCUCCCACUAAGCUCUGCAAAACCAAGGAAGGGAUGAAGUGGUCUUUGGAAUCAGGAAUUUCUGGGUUUGGAUGCCAACAGGAAAACAAAUGAAUUCUGUCUGAUUUCUGCAGCAGGCGGAGGCUGCAGCUGCUGCUGCUGCCACCUCCUGGGAGAAGAC